RNAcentral lists this long non-coding RNA (1825 nucleotides) under Lonchura striata (white-rumped munia). Its description in RNAcentral is "domestica (Bengalese finch) lncRNA (ENSLSDG00000003981.1)". The record is from RNAcentral. Lineage: Eukaryota; Metazoa; Chordata; Aves; Passeriformes; Estrildidae.
AUGUAAUUGGUUGUUUAAAUUAAUUUCUUUUCUAAUUAAUCUUAGUUGGGUUUUCUUUAUGGCUUUGCUGGUUGUUUAUUGGUUAAAAUUCCGAGGCAAUUAAUGAGUGGUUUGAUUGCUUAGCUGGGGACAUAUUUAAUUAGCUUGAUUGCCUUAUUAAUUAGCUCAUUUAUGUGGUCAUUAAUGGCACGAGAAGCAGUUUUGAUGGGUAAUAUCUAAUUGGAUUAAUGUAAUUAGUGUAAUUAGCGAUUAAAUGACAGGAUCUGUUACUUGGGGCAUCUCGUUAGCUAAAAAGCCUUAACUCACUAAUUGAGUUAAUUAGAUAAUGGAUGCUUAAUGAAGAUUAAUUAGCUUAUUAAUGGAUAAUGAGCUAAGAAACUUACUUCUCUUUUUUCCUCCCCUUUUUCCCUCACUUUUUUCUCCCUUUUUCUGCCCCAUUUCCCCUUUUUCCCUUUUCCCCUUUUCCCUUUUCCCUUUUUCCCUUUUCCCUUUUUCCUCUUUUCCCUUUUUCCUUUUCCCUUUUUCCUUUUUCUUUUUCCUUUUCCCCUUUUCCCCUUUUCCCUUUUCCCUUUUCCCUUUUUCCUUUUCCCCCUUUUUCCCUUCCCCUUUUUUCCUUUUUUUCCCUUUUUCCUUUUCCCUUUUUCCUCUUUUCCCCUUUUUCCUUUUUCCCUUUUUCCUUUUUCCUUUUCCCUUUUUCCUUUUCCCCUUUUCCUCUUUUCCCCUUUUUCCUUUUUCUUUUUCCUUUUCCCCUUUUCCCUUUUCCCUUUUUCCCUUUUCCCCUUUUUCUUUUUCCUUUUCCUCUUUUCCCUUUUCCCUUUCCCCUUUUUCCUUUCCCCUUUUUCCUUCCCCCCCUUUUCCUUUUCCCCCUUUUUCCUUUUUCUCUUUUCCCUUUUCUAAUUUUCUCUUUUUCUCCCAUUUUCUCCUCUCUUUCUGUCCCUUCCCCUCCUCCCUCCCCUCUUUUCCCACUUCUUUCCCCUCUCCCCUUUUUUCCUUUUCCCUUCCCUUUUCCCCCUUUUUCUCUUCCAUUUUCUCCCCAUUUCUCCCCAUUUUCCCCAUUUCUCCACAUCUUCCCCCCAUUUCUCCCCGUUUCCUCUUUGUUCCUAUUUCCCCCUCAUUUUCCCCAUGUUUCUCCCCAUUUCUCCCCAUUUUUCUCCCAAUUUCUCCCCAUUUUCCCUUUGUUUUUCCCCAUUUCCCACCCAUUUUCCCUGUUCCUUCCCAUUUCCCCCACAUUUUCCCCCAUUUUCCCCACGUUUUCCCCCAUUUUCCCCCAUUUUCCCCCAUUUUCCCCAUGUUUUCCCCAUGUUUUCCCCCAUUUCCCUCUAUUUCUCCCCCAUUUCCCCCAUUUUCCCCGUAUUUCUCCUCAUUUCUCCCCAUUUAUUCCUGUUCCUCCCCAUUUUCCCCAUGUUUUUCCCAAUUUUUCCCCAUUUUCCCUCCAUUUCCCCCCUUUUACCCCACAUUUUCCCCUUUUCCCCCACUUCUCCCCAUUUUCCCCACAUCUCGCCCCAUAUUUUUCCCCAUGUUUUUCCCCAUUUCCCCCGUGAUUUUCCCCAUUUCCCUCCAUUUCCCCCACGUUUUUCCCCAUUUCCCCCAUUUCCUCCAUGUUUUCCCCCACGUUUUUCCCCAUUUCUUCCAUUUCCCCCAUGUUUCCCCAUGUUUGUCCCCAUUUUUCCCCAUUUCUCUCCAUUUCCCCCAUGUUUCCCCCAUGUUUUCCCCAUGUUUCUCCCCAUUUCCCCCAUGUUUCCCCCAUGUUUCCNNNNNNNNNNNNNNNNNNNNNNNNNNNNNNNNNNNNNNNNNNNNNNNNNNNNNNNNNNNNNNNNNNNNNNNN